RNAcentral lists this small RNA (29 nucleotides) under Bombyx mori (domestic silkworm). RNAcentral's name for it is "ovarian small RNA-34466". Lineage: Eukaryota; Metazoa; Arthropoda; Insecta; Lepidoptera; Bombycidae. The record is from RNAcentral.
UGGAAGCUUGGCCCGUUCCGUGCGUCUCC